UCCCCCGCCCUUGUCCGCGGGGCUGCCACAGAGCCACGUCUCGGGGAGCGUGGCCCCGCCGCCUCCUGUCCCGCAGAACCCCCGUGGAUGGAGCUGGCCGGGCUUGGGCGAGUCGCCCAUGGACAUGCCACAGCAUCCCGGCAGCCACUCCAUAAAUGCUCUGCUUCCAUAAAAUCGGAAGUAUUUCAGUCUACCCUGAUCUCCCUAGACUGACCAAGACAAAGGCCAGUUGGCCUGGCACAGAGCCCGCAGUGAAGCACACUCAUGACUUCUCAUCUGUGCUGCUGGACACUCAUCUGCCCCUACAUUCGGUCUCUUCUUGAUGCUCAGCAUGACUAGUCUCUCAUUCCUACCUGUGCCUGCCAGUGAUGAGCCAGCUGCUGCCUGUCAAUGACAUGAUACCCAUCAAAUAAACUGUACCCCCACAACUGUAUUAACCACACUUUGUGAUAAAGAUAAAAAAUAGCUUGAUUUUUGAACGUGUUGCUAAAUCAACACAUGGGCCUGAGCAAAACACAGAUGCUUAGUACUGGGAAAGGGCAUCCAGGACAGCAGUGACAAACAUCUAAGACAUGGUGGUGCAGGCUCCCUGAGAAGCCCUACUCCAGUCAAUGUCCCUGGCUGCUCCUGAAAACAACGAGAAAUCAGUCUGGGGUACUAGGAGAAUUCAUGCUUAAACUUGAAACAAAGAAAUAAUUGAGAAAGGGAAGGGGAGAACUUGAGCUGGGUUGACACAAAGAUUUCUUUAGACACACAGCAAUGGUCAGGAGGAAAAGCAGAGUAAGAAAAAGAGUCACAGCAAAAGCAUUGCUGCCAAUGGAGCUUUGAGUGAGGGGCACAGUCAAAUCAGUUUUCUAAAAGCAUGGUCAAAACAGAGGGAAAAGGAGAAGGAAACUGGAGGCUAUGCAAGCUUUAAUGUAGUUACUUGGGCAGCACAGUACUGAACCAGUACCACCUCUAAACUGGGGUAGCAUCAUGCAGGUGUUCCCACAGUCUCCCACACUGGUUGCUGUCCUGCUUCUGAGUCCAGGCUGCUGCAUCCCUGCUGCCGUAACCUGCAUGGCUGGGUUGCAGUUAAGAUGGGGGACAUCUAUUUUCUGCUACACUCACAUUAUGUUUUCGAUGCUUGGAUACACUUGCCAGGGAUCAGCCUUACAUCAGCGCUACUCCUGUCAUUGCCUUCCUCUAACUCACCUUGUCAUCAUAUCUCGCAUCAGAGGACACUGAACACGCAUGCGCUCUCUUCCUAAGGGCUUUCUCGAUAACUCCACAUUUCCAUUAACAAAUAAAAGUACUUCAUUCUAAGAAGGUCAGUAAUUAUACCAUAUCAUAAGGAACACGAGCAUCCAAAAGAACAGUCUAGCCUGGAGGGUGGUGAAUGGGCUGAUGCAUCCAAGCCUGGUGCCAGGAUGGAGAACACAAAGCUUCACCCCAGGGCAAAACAGGCAGGACACCCACACAGAUGCUCAUGGAAGGCCCAGGAUGCAGCAGGCAGUACCACGACCUUUGUAACUCUGAGAAGCAUCACUGGCAUUUGCAAGUUUAGGAUCAGGUGAGUCCAAGGAAGGCUGUUGCCAUCUAUUUUCCCAGCAGGUGACUGUGUGGCAGCCUGAGGCCAAGGACCUCUCACAUCUGGCUUCCAAUAGCCCUGUAUUUAGUCCGGGCACCUCGUGGGCCUCUGCCAAGGUUCUUGGCCUGGGCAUCACACCUCUGGCACACCCUCUGCCACAUGGAGCCACAGGGCUGCCCUUCCCCAGGGGCUGCUCCCCAUGAUCCACAUCCCACGUCAAUGCCUGAGAGGCACUGCCAUGUUGCUGCCUCCAUGGUGACAUAGGUGACACUAGUCCCUCUGCAUUGUGGGGGCCCACAGCAACCCAUCACAGGAAAACAGCAAGAUUUUGUGUGAUGGAAGCAAGACAGCACUGCUCUCAGCCGAGCAGCUUAGCCUGCGCUCAUUCAAGAUGCAAGAAGACAGUGAAUAGUGAGCCCCCCCUCCCCUUCUUUGCCAGACAUGCUCCCACUGUGCUGGCUUUGCUCUCCAGCCUCUCAGGGUGUGUGGACUGUGUCAGGGAUGAGAGCACUGCACCUGGGCUCUGCUGCCGAGCACUGUGUGUUUUGCUGGCAAGGCUUUGUCUCUCUGACAGACUUGGCUGCCAAAGAAAAACCCCUGACCAAACAAUUGCUUAGACUGCAAUUUUUGCACAGCCCCGCCAACACUUUGCUUGGGGCUCUGUGGAUGGUCUCUGUUUUCUAGAGAGCACAAGGCUAGAGGCCAGGCCAAGGAGGAUGAUUCUGCCUGUGUCACUCUUUCAUGUUUGAGCAGGGCCCAGUGCUCCUUGACAGAUGUCUGAAGUUGCCCAGUUCAGGAUGGCUCAGAGUGGCAGUAAGGGUUUGUGAACACCAACUGUGUCUCCUAAUUUGGUUUCCACCAAAAGGCUGCUUUAGAUGGCAGUGAAAGUGUCUCUGGUCCAGGGCAAAGGAUAUAACCACUUUCUUAUGUUCUGGAUCCUGGCCUUUAUCCAAGGUGGGCGUGUUCACCUGACACUUCUAAGGGCAAGCCAGUAGUUGUGUCACUGGCACGAUUCAUGUGUGGUCAGUCCUGAGAAUUAACUCGAUUGGUCUUGAUCCUACCACAUUCACCUAUUCCACUGGAAGAAGAGUUUUCCACUGGUAUGAGAGGACGUGGAGUGAAAACCAUGCAUCCAUCUGGGCUGCUCAGGGCAACAGCCCUCACGCUGAGAGGGCUGGUCCUGCCCUACCUGGGCAGCAGACGGUGACAGCUUUGCCUCGUUGGCUCUUAUCCUCUGGGUUUCCUGGGCGAUGCGAUUCCCUGUGUGCCACAGGCUGGACAUGCUCAACUUAGCUGCCCUGGCAGCCUGCCAAAGACACUCACACCUCCUCUGCUUUCAGUGGAGAAGCUUUGUUUCACAAAGGCUGUCCGGUGUCUGUCCCACCUGCUUGGGUAAGUGCAACUGGGUGGGGAUCCCUGGGCUUUGGGAGGGAUGGGCUGUUGCCCACAGCUGGUGUGCUGAUCUGGGGAAAUGGGCUCUGACAUGGCAAGCAGGUGGUGCGGUGAGCCCAGCCCAGGGGAGCUGGGGUGGAGCUGUGUGCUAAGUGAAGGGGCACCUCCUGCACUCCAGGAUCACGGUCCUGCUGGGAUAAGGCUGAGCAGGGCAAGAGGAGGCUUAUGGAAACAGUUCUCCAAAGGCCAAAGGACACCUACUGGAGCUGUGAAGGCCCCUGUGUCCAAGGUGGGUAGGUGGAAACAGGGACCUGCAGCUAUAGGGAAGCUCGGAACAGGGAUGACGGAGCACCAGGAUGGAGAGUGGGAGCUCAAGGGCUUCCUUGGGGUGACCACAGGCCCCAGCACUGCAAACCCAACCCAAACAAAUAGGUGAGAAUAAGAAAAGAACUUGUAUGUGGGAAAGGAAGCAGAAAUUGAAAUUGUGCCUUAAAAUGGGAGGGAGGGGAGAAAUGUCUUCUACUUGAGAAGGCACUGAAGAGCUUUUUGUAGCACACUGUAGGAUGAGAUAUGACAAGCUGAUGCUUCCCGUGUGAUCUGGUUAUUUAAUGCAAUGUGCAGUCCUUGGAAGUGUUAGUGCUUAACUAUUACUGUUAAAACAUUAAAAAGCUAAACUAUAAAUAGCUUCUAUAGCAGUUCCCAAGCUAUGUUUCUGGGUUCUUUAUGUAUUGAUGUGUAUGCAUAGUGAUGUGUGUGUAUACAUAUAUUUGAAGACAAGCAGCAGACAACAGAGUUUUGUGAAACAGUCAUACUGAAUAUCUGAAAUGCUACCACUUCUAGUUUACACUACUAGUGGAAACAAGUAGUGUGCCCUCAAAUAUACCCCUGCUGGGGAAAGGCAAAACUUUCUUGAGGACUGAACUUGAGAGGAAACAAAAUAAUGACUCAAGUUCUUGGGAGAAGGGAAAGAAAAAAGAAAAAAAAAAAAGAGGCAGAUAUAUGCCUGAAAGAAAGACCAGAAACUAAAUACCUAAUUAUACCCUGCAGUAAGCUGUCAGAAACUGGCAGCAGUGGGAGGGAAGGAGGCAAAGCUGAUCUCAGUGAGUUUGAGCAUAAUCUGCUCUAACCAUACUUAAAAUGCCUUUUGUGUGGGAAUGGAAGGUUCUGGUAUUCUCUGACACAUGCUUUGUACUGCACUUAUCUAAUCCAUUCAAACGGUCAGGGCUGAAGUUACAGACAAGUGUAAAAGAGUCUCACCUGGCCAGCACCAAAAUUCAACGAUGCCUCAGCUUCUGAAUGCAGUCUUUGUAACUAAACUGCUGAUCCAGUACUACAGUUCAGGGAACACAGAUACUCUUCAAAAGGAUAUACAAGUGUAACAGUCUAUUGCUUGUAAUUACACUUCGGUUCAAAGAGUUUUCGAUGCCAGCAUAAAAUGCCAAGACAUUUCUUCCCAUGCUUGUAGCAGGGCAGGGGUUUGGAGAGUGGAUUUGGGGUUUGAUCUUGUUAUUUUGUACUUCCUCAGUCUUAGCAUUCAGUGUGUAUUGAACUGACCCUGAGGAGAAAGUUCUUAGCAGUUGAACUGACUGAAAGGGAAAAGUGGGUUUGUCAUAGUGAAUUUAGAGACAAGUGUUUUAUUGAUGGAAGUUUGGUUCCUUGAGAACGUGUAGCUGCCUUGCUGGUGUGGGAUUUUAAACUGUUGCAGACCUGGAUCUAUAAAGGUCUUAAAGUGCAUAGUUUUCAUCAAAUUGACUGUGACAGUAAAAAACAUAAAGACUUGUGCUUUUACAAUUGGGGUGAGUAAGAUUCAGUAAUGGAAGGGUUUGGGCAGGCCCCCAAAGGCAACAGUUACCAGGGCGAGCAGGUAACUGCAUAGCUUGUGUUCAAGGCCCACCAGUAUCCACACACUAAGCACUUUCCAGGGGUUGCCCCGGUAGGCACUUCUCACAGCAUUCACCUGGGAACAAACUCCAACUUAAAUAGGGCUCCCAAUCCUCUUUUUCCAGUUGGUCCUUCUUCAGUGUUUCACAGUGCUGGUGUUUAACUCUGCACCUUAUGGUGGUUAAGGAUUUCUGUGGGACCUACCUUCCACCUAAGGCUGCCUCGAAGGGACACCUGAACCCCAGGCUGCCCUUUUGCUUUGACAACAGUGUAGUGAUUAAAAGCAUUCAUCUGAGAGGAUCAGGUUGUGAUCUCUUUCUGCUUAACUAAAUCUUGAUAUGACCUAUCUUGGGUGUGUGAUCCAUCUACCAGAGUACUUGGUAAAAGGAGGAUGCUGGUUAACACUUUUUAUUAUUACAGGUCAGGGACAUAGAUCAUUUCUCCAGGAUGUAGAAUAUAAUUCUAUUCCUCUCUCUGCUAAGAAUGGGAAUCCUUGCCCAGUCCAUCCAAAACAGCUUUAUUGAUUGUUGCUUUCAACACCAAGAUCUCAGGACUCUACAUCAUGCUUGUUUUGCUGUCUAAUGUGACUCCUGUGAGCUGUGAACUUUGUAGAUGGAAAACUUUCUGAUGGAAUAUGCUAUAAGAACAAUGCAAGCGAAUUGGCUGUUCCUAAGAUCAUUAAAAAUGACUGUUUCUACCUGGAA
Pipra filicauda (Wire-tailed manakin) is the source of this 5547-nucleotide long non-coding RNA. RefSeq lists it as uncharacterized. The transcript is spliced from 2 exons. Lineage: Eukaryota; Metazoa; Chordata; Aves; Passeriformes; Pipridae. The record is from RefSeq and is a predicted model, not a curated record.